RNAcentral lists this small nuclear RNA (175 nucleotides) under Tupaia belangeri (northern tree shrew). Its description in RNAcentral is "U4 spliceosomal RNA (ENSTBEG00000020457.1)". The stretch from base 1 to 83 matches the Rfam family "U4 spliceosomal RNA". The record is from RNAcentral. Lineage: Eukaryota; Metazoa; Chordata; Mammalia; Scandentia; Tupaiidae.
AGCUUUGCACAGUGGCAGUAUCGUAGCCAAUGAGGGUUAUCCGAGGUGCGAUUAUUGCUAAUUGAAAACUUUAAAAGAGAACAAACUCCAGACCAGUGAUGUACACUGUGCUAGACGAUGCCCUGCCUCCCACUGUCAGUACCAUCAGAGAAGCAUCUGAAAACAGUGAAUACAG